CCUUUUUGUGCAUUGUUUCAUCUGUCUGAUUCACCUACCAUUUGUUAUACUUGUUUCUUUCAUCCAUGCUUCUAUUGUUUGAUUAUUUAACAUAUUCAUACUUCCCAUACAUUGUUUAAAGCUCCAUUAUUUCAUUAUUCGAUUCUUUGACUUGAUCAUACACUUGUUUACUUAUCUAUUGUUUGAUAACUGUUGCCUACUUGUAUGAUGUAUGAGGCAUAUAUUCUUAUUGUUUGGUUG
Molecule: long non-coding RNA, 240 nt
Filed under: Lathyrus oleraceus (garden pea)
Lineage: Eukaryota; Viridiplantae; Streptophyta; Magnoliopsida; Fabales; Fabaceae
Description: Pisum sativum (pea) long non-coding RNA (PSAT_LNC024629)
Source: RNAcentral